GACAGAGGGUGCAAACGUUGCUCGGAAUUACUGGGCGUAAAGCGCGUGUAGGCUGACCGGAAAGUCGGGCGUGAAAGCCCUGGGCUCAACCCAGGAACUGCACUCGAAACUCCCGGUCUAGAGUGGUGGAGAGGGAAGUGGAAUUCCUGGUGUAGAGGUGAAAUUCGUAGAUAUCAGGAGGAACACCAGUGGCGAAGGCGGCUUCCUGGACACCAACUGACGCUGAGACGCGAAAGCGUGGGAGCAAACAGG
Molecule: ribosomal RNA, 252 nt
Filed under: uncultured bacterium
Lineage: Bacteria
Description: partial 16S ribosomal RNA
Rfam family: Bacterial small subunit ribosomal RNA
Source: RNAcentral